RNAcentral lists this unclassified non-coding RNA (202 nucleotides) under Hevea brasiliensis (rubber tree). Lineage: Eukaryota; Viridiplantae; Streptophyta; Magnoliopsida; Malpighiales; Euphorbiaceae. The record is from RNAcentral.
AAAGAACGUGCACCUGGAUGAUGACCAACUCCAUGCCAAUAAUCUUACGUAAGGGGGCAAUGAAUAAAAACAUGCAUAUCAUCUUCCACCGCAUUACAAACUACACAACCCAGCUCAAUAUUAAUUCCCUUAUCUCUAAAGUUAGACUUUAUAAGAAGGAUACUUCUUAACAUUCCCCUUAGGAAAUUUUUAACCUUAAGAG